AGUGAACGCUGGCGGUAGGCCUAACACAUGCAAGUCGAACGGCAGCACAGUAAGAGCUUGCUCUUACGGGUGGCGAGUGGCGGACGGGUGAGUAAUACAUCGGAAUCUACUUUUUCGUGGGGGAUAACGUAGGGAAACUUACGCUAAUACCGCAUACGACCUACGGGUGAAAGCAGGGGAUCUUCGGACCUUGCGCGAGUGAAUGAGCCGAUGUCGGAUUAGCUAGUUGGCGGGGUAAAGGCCCACCAAGGCGACGAUCCGUAGCUGGUCUGAGAGGAUGAUCAGCCACACUGGAACUGAGACACGGUCCAGACUCCUACGGGAGGCAGCAGUGGGGAAUAUUGGACAAGGGGCGCAAGCCUGAUCCAGCCAUACCGCGUGGGUGAAGAAGGCCUUCGGGUUGUAAAGCCCUUUUGUUGGGAAAGAAAAGCAGCAGGUUAAUACCCCGCUGUUCUGACGGUACCCAAAGAAUAAGCACCGGCUAACUUCGUG
This 492-nucleotide ribosomal RNA is filed under the name uncultured bacterium. RNAcentral describes it as "partial 16S ribosomal RNA". It matches the Rfam family "Bacterial small subunit ribosomal RNA", at positions 29 to 507 of the family's 1533-position model. The record is from RNAcentral.